This 30-nucleotide non-coding RNA is filed under the name Homo sapiens (human). The record is from RNAcentral. Lineage: Eukaryota; Metazoa; Chordata; Mammalia; Primates; Hominidae.
UCUGAGGAGCUGUCUCCAGCCUCCAGGUGU